This 885-nucleotide ribosomal RNA is filed under the name uncultured Sporidiobolales. Its description in RNAcentral is "SSU rRNA". It matches the Rfam family "Eukaryotic small subunit ribosomal RNA", at positions 564 to 1475 of the family's 1831-position model. Lineage: Eukaryota; Fungi; Basidiomycota; Microbotryomycetes; Sporidiobolales. The record is from RNAcentral.
GUGCCAAGCAGNCGCGGUAAUUCCAGCUCCAAUAGCGUAUAUUAAAGUUGUUGCCGUUAAAAAGCUCGUAGUCGAACUUCGGCGCCUGAUGGCCGGUCCGCCUUCUUGGUGUGUACUUGCUCAUCGGGCGCUUACCUCCUGGUGAACUCUGAUGUCCUUUACUGGGUGUCAGAGCAAACCAGGACGUUUACUUUGAAAAAAUUAGAGUGUUCAAAGCAGGCCUACGCCCGAAUACAUUAGCAUGGAAUAAUAGAAUAGGACGCGCGUUCCCAUUUUGUUGGUUUCUGAGAUCGCCGUAAUGAUUAAUAGGGAUAGUUGGGGGCAUUUGUAUUCCGUCGUCAGAGGUGAAAUUCUUGGAUUGCCGGAAGACAAACUACUGCGAAAGCAUUUGCCAAGGAUGUUUUCAUUGAUCAAGAACGAAGGAAGGGGGAUCGAAAACGAUCAGAUACCGUUGUAGUCUCUUCUGUAAACUAUGCCAAUUGGGGAUUAGCACAGGAUUUUCAAUGACUGUGUUAGCACCCGAAGAGAAAUCUUUAAAUGAGGUUCGGGGGGGAGUAUGGUCGCAAGGCUGAAACUUAAAGGAAUUGACGGAAGGGCACCACCAGGUGUGGAGCCUGCGGCUUAAUUUGACUCAACACGGGGAAACUCACCAGGUCCAGACACAAUAAGGAUUGACAGAUUGAUAGCUCUUUCUUGAUCUUGUGGUUGGUGGUGCAUGGCCGUUCUUAGUUGGUGGAGUGAUUUGUCUGGUUAAUUCCGAUAACGAACGAGACCUUAACCUGCUAAAUAGACCAGUCGACUUUGGUUGACUGCUGUCUUCUUAGAGGGACUAUCAGCGUUUAGCUGAUGGAAGUUUGAGGCAAUAACAGGUCUGUGAUGCCCAAA